CCUACGGGAGGCAGCAGUAGGGAAUCUUCCGCAAUGGACGAAAGUCUGACGGAGCAACGCCGCGUGAGUGAUGAAGGUUUUCGGAUCGUAAAACUCUGUUGUUAGGGAAGAACAAGUGUGAGAGUAACUGCUCACACCUUGACGGUACCUAACCAGAAAGCCACGGCUAACUACGUGCCAGCAGCCGCGGUAAUACGUAGGUGGCAAGCGUUGUCCGGAAUUAUUGGGCGUAAAGCGCUCGCAGGCGGUCUUUUAAGUCUGAUGUGAAAGCCCACGGCUUAACCGUGGAGGGUCAUUGGAAACUGGAGGACUUGAGUACAGAAGAGGAGAGUGGAAUUCCACGUGUAGCGGUGAAAUGCGUAGAGAUGUGGAGGAACACCAGUGGCGAAGGCGACUCUCUGGUCUGUAACUGACGCUGAGGAGCGAAAGCGUGGGGAGCGAACAGGAUUAGAUACCCUGGUAGUCCACGCCGUAAACGAUGAGUGCUAGGUGUUAGGGGGUUUCCGCCCCUUAGUGCUGCAGUUAACGCAUUAAGCACUCCGCCUGGGGAGUACGGCCGCAAGGCUGAAACUCAAAAGAAUUGACGGGGACCCGCACAAGCGGUGGAGCAUGUGGUUUAAUUCGACGCAACGCGAAGAACCUUACCAGGUCUUGACAUCCUCUGACAACCCUAGAGAUAGGGCUUUCCCUUCGGGGACAGAGUGACAGGUGGUGCAUGGUUGUCGUCAGCUCGUGUCGUGAGAUGUUGGGUUAAGUCCCGCAACGAGCGCAACCCUUGAUCUUAGUUGCCAGCAUUUAGUUGGGCACUCUAAAGUGACUGCCGGUGACAAACCGGAGGAAGGUGGGGAUGACGUCAAAUCAUCAUGCCCCUUAUGACCUGGCUACACACGUGCUACAUGGAUGGAACAAAGGGAAGCUAAACCGCGAGGUCAGCAAUCCCAUAAAACCAUUCUCAGUUCGGAUUGUAGCUGCAACUCGCCUACAUGAAGCCGGAAUCGCUAG
This 1002-nucleotide ribosomal RNA is filed under the name uncultured bacterium. RNAcentral's name for it is "bacterial SSU rRNA". It matches the Rfam family "Bacterial small subunit ribosomal RNA", at positions 338 to 1338 of the family's 1533-position model. The record is from RNAcentral.